This 434-nucleotide ribosomal RNA is filed under the name uncultured bacterium. RNAcentral's name for it is "bacterial SSU rRNA". It matches the Rfam family "Bacterial small subunit ribosomal RNA", at positions 86 to 518 of the family's 1533-position model. The record is from RNAcentral.
GGAUGGCGACCGGCGCACGGGUGAGUAACACGUAUCCAACCUGCCGCUUACUCGGGGAUAGCCUUUCGAAAGAAAGAUUAAUACCCGAUGGUAUAAAGAGUUCGCAUGUUCUCUUUAUUAAAGAAUUUCGGUAAGCGAUGGGGAUGCGUUCCAUUAGAUAGUUGGCGGGGUAACGGCCCACCAAGUCUACGAUGGAUAGGGGUUCUGAGAGGAAGGUCCCCCACAUUGGAACUGAGACACGGUCCAAACUCCUACGGGAGGCAGCAGUGAGGAAUAUUGGUCAAUGGACGAGAGUCUGAACCAGCCAAAGUAGCGUGAAGGAUGACUGCCCUAUGGGUUGUAAACUUCUUUUAUAAGGGAAUAAAGUGAGGGACGUGUCCCUUUUUGUAUGUACCUUAUGAAUAAGGAUCGGCUAACUCCGUGCCAGCCGCGGC